GAAAUUUUGAAGCUCAAUCCUCUUGGCUAUGUGCCGGUGCUGGUGGAUGGUGACUUUGUUGUUUCUGACUCUUUUGCCAUCUUGAUGUAUUUGGAUGAAAAAUAUCCUCAGCAUCCAUUGUUGCCUCGUGAUCUUCACAAAAAAGCCAUUAAUUACCAGGCUGCAAAUAUUGUUUCUUCAAGCAUACAGCCUCUGCAGAAUCUAGCUGUGCUAAAAUUUAUAGAGGAAAAAGUCAGUCCAGACGAGAAACUUCCUUGGGUUCAGUAUCAUAUUAGAAAUGGCUUUGCAGCAUUGGAGAAGCUGCUAAAAGACCAUGCUGGAAGAUAUGCGACUGGAGAUGAAAUUUUCCUGGCGGAUUUGUUUCUAGCAGCACAGCUUCAUCCAGCAAUUAAAAGAUUUAAUGUUGACAUGACUCCAUUUCCUCUGCUAUCAAGGCUGCAUGAGGCAUACAAUGAGCUGCCAGCAUUCCAGAAUGGUAUGCCAGAAAACCAGCCAGAUACCCCUUCAUCCAGCACUACUUAAGUCAACAGGAAGUAAAGUUUCAGGUCAAUCUUCCCAAACCAAAACUUGCUAACAUACAGCACAAAGUACAACUUGGUGGAGCCUGAAAAUAAAGCUAUCCAGCAUAUAUUGUACAAUGGGGUCAAUUUGAAGGUUGGCCUGUUUCUAUCAUAUAAUUCUGUGAUGGAUGAAUGAUAAUAAUUACAAAGAACAUGAACUGUUAUAAGUUAAUGCCGAGGACAUUGAGUCUCAAUGGUAUUGUUAUUCUUACCCAUUGUGCUCCCUAUAAUAAUGAGUUU
RNAcentral lists this unclassified non-coding RNA (800 nucleotides) under Hevea brasiliensis (rubber tree). Lineage: Eukaryota; Viridiplantae; Streptophyta; Magnoliopsida; Malpighiales; Euphorbiaceae. The record is from RNAcentral.